UACGUAGGGUGCAAGCGUUGUCCGGAAUUAUUGGGCGUAAAGAGCUCGUAGGCGGUUUGUCGCGUCGGCUGUGAAAACCUGGGGCUCAACCCCGGGCCUGCAGUCGAUACGGGCAGACUAGAGUGCGGUAGGGGAGACUGGAAUUCCUGAUGUAGCGGUGAAAUGCGCAGAUAUCGGGAGGAACACCCGUAGCGAAGGCGGCACUCUGGGCCGGAACUGACGCUGAGGAGCGAAAGCGUGGGGAGCAAACAGG
Molecule: ribosomal RNA, 253 nt
Filed under: uncultured bacterium
Lineage: Bacteria
Description: partial 16S ribosomal RNA
Rfam family: Bacterial small subunit ribosomal RNA
Source: RNAcentral